Molecule: transfer RNA, 72 nt
Filed under: Ovis aries (sheep)
Lineage: Eukaryota; Metazoa; Chordata; Mammalia; Artiodactyla; Bovidae
Rfam family: tRNA
About the family: Transfer RNA (tRNA) molecules are approximately 80 nucleotides in length. Their secondary structure includes four short double-helical elements and three loops (D, anti-codon, and T loops). Further hydrogen bonds mediate the characteristic L-shaped molecular structure. tRNAs have two regions of fundamental functional importance: the anti-codon, which is responsible for specific mRNA codon recognition, and the 3' end, to which the tRNAs corresponding amino acid is attached (by aminoacyl-tRNA synthetases). tRNAs cope with the degeneracy of the genetic code in two manners: having more than one tRNA (with a specific anti-codon) for a particular amino acid; and 'wobble' base-pairing, i.e. permitting non-standard base-pairing at the 3rd anti-codon position.
Source: Rfam by way of RNAcentral
UCCCUGGCAGUCCAGUGGUUAAGACUCUGCACUUCCAAUGCAGGGGUGCAGGUUCAAUUUCUGGUCAAGGAA